CGAUGAGAACCGAUGAAGACGUGGAGGCUGCGAUAAGCCACGGGGAGGUGCCGACCAACCUUCGAUCCGUGGAUUUCUGAAUGGGCAACCCAGCACCCGUCAUGGGGUGUUACUCCCGCCUGAACACAUAGGGCGGGUAGAGGGAACCAGGGGAAUUGAAAACAUCUCAGUACCCUGAGGAAAGGAAAACAACAGUGACUCCGUCAGUAGCGGCGAGCGAACGCGGAAGAGCCUAAACCGAACUGGUGUGAUAGCCCUACGGCGUUGCCAGUUCGGGGUUGUGGGACAUGAUGGCAGGAGCGUAGGACCUGCACAGAGUUACAAAGCUGCUGAGUAGUGGAAGCGUCUGGAAAGUCGCGCCGCAGAGGGUAACGGCCCCGUACACGAAACUCAUGCAGUCUCUGAUCAAUGCUCCCGAGUAACGCCGAAUCCGAGAAAGUCGGCGUGAAUCUGCGAGGACCACCUCGUAAGGCUAAGUAUUCCUCAUCGACCGAUAGUGAACUAGUACCGUGAGGGAAAGGUGAAAAGUACCCCC
RNAcentral lists this ribosomal RNA (535 nucleotides) under uncultured bacterium. RNAcentral describes it as "bacterial LSU rRNA". It matches the Rfam family "Bacterial large subunit ribosomal RNA", at positions 37 to 528 of the family's 2925-position model. The record is from RNAcentral.